CUAAGUACGUGCGAAGCGCCGAAGCCGCGAGGCGACGGCGUUCUCGCCGGAUGUAGGAACCGACCCGGGGACCGCCGGGGGCAACCCCGGCGCCCCCGAGACGGGGCGAACCACGGUGAAAUGACGGAUCGUCGGCCCCGCGCCGGCGACUCGCCGAAUGAGUUUCUGACCUAUCAACUCGAGACGGCGGGGUAGAGGCCCGCCGCGGUAACGACGGGUAACGGGGAAUCAGGGUUCGAUUCCGGAGAGGGAGCCCGAGAAACGGCUACCACUUCCAAGGAAGGCAGCAGGCGCGCAACUUACCCUAAUCUCGAUUCGAGGAGGUAGUGACAAGAAAUACCGAUGCGGGACCCUACGGGUGCCGCGUUCGGAAUGAGUACGAUUCGAACCACCUAACGAGGAAC
This 404-nucleotide ribosomal RNA is filed under the name uncultured eukaryote. RNAcentral's name for it is "bacterial SSU rRNA". It matches the Rfam family "Eukaryotic small subunit ribosomal RNA", at positions 164 to 545 of the family's 1831-position model. The record is from RNAcentral.